GUCCUUUCAAGUUAGGACUGCAAUCGCUAUAUCAAGGGCGUCGGGAAACCGACUAUGGCGAUAAACGGCGUGUGUAAUAACCGAUGCGGACCCGGGGGCAGUACCCGGCGCCUCCACCAAAUUCCCGGCUGCCUAAGUGGGCAGGCACGGUACGGGGGCGAAACAGGAUCGACGCGCGGGUAAAGACAUGUUUUUUGCUCGGCAUGGUACCACCGUUAUCGGGCCGUAUCACAGAUGCCAACGACAAUCGUAUGGCUCUCGCUGCCUAAUUAGGCAAGCGCGGUCCGGGGGGCACCGGGCAACAGAAGCCCCCCACU
RNAcentral lists this transfer-messenger RNA (317 nucleotides) under Alphaproteobacteria bacterium. It matches the Rfam family "Alphaproteobacteria transfer-messenger RNA". From Rfam's summary of the family: Bacterial tmRNA, also known as 10Sa RNA or SsrA, is named for its dual tRNA and mRNA-like properties. Lineage: Bacteria; Pseudomonadati; Pseudomonadota; Alphaproteobacteria. The record is from RNAcentral.